This is a long non-coding RNA of Xiphophorus couchianus (Monterrey platyfish), 94 nucleotides long. RefSeq lists it as uncharacterized. NCBI's taxonomy places the organism in Eukaryota, Metazoa, Chordata, Actinopteri, Cyprinodontiformes, Poeciliidae. The transcript has 3 exons. The record is from RefSeq and is a predicted model, not a curated record.
UAAAAAGUAAAAUGUAAAUUAGUUUUGCGUUAUUUCAAGUGUAAUAAGAUAUCUGCAGUAGAAACAAGACUAAACAUACUUAGUAAAGUUUGGU